GCAAGUCGGACGGUAACAGGCGAGUGCUUGCACUUGCGCUGACGAGUGGCGGACGGGUGAGUAAUGAAUAGGAAUCUGUCCUUUCGAGGGGGAUAGCUCUGGGAAACUAGAGGUAAUACAGAGUACAACCUACGGAUUAAAAGUGGCGCAAGCUUCCGCGAAAGGGUGAGCCUAUGUUAGAUUAGCUAGAUGUUGAGGUAAAAGCUCACCAUGGCUACGAUCUAUAGCUGUUCUGAGAGGAAGAUC
Molecule: ribosomal RNA, 246 nt
Filed under: uncultured bacterium
Lineage: Bacteria
Description: partial 16S ribosomal RNA
Rfam family: Bacterial small subunit ribosomal RNA
Source: RNAcentral